GAGGGUACAGCUCAGUGGUGGAGCGCGUGCUUAGCAUGCAUGAGGUCCUGGGUUCAAUCCCCAGUACCGCCA
Molecule: transfer RNA, 72 nt
Filed under: Camelus bactrianus (Bactrian camel)
Lineage: Eukaryota; Metazoa; Chordata; Mammalia; Artiodactyla; Camelidae
Also listed under: 2 other names
Rfam family: tRNA
About the family: Transfer RNA (tRNA) molecules are approximately 80 nucleotides in length. Their secondary structure includes four short double-helical elements and three loops (D, anti-codon, and T loops).
Source: Rfam by way of RNAcentral